AUGAACGUUGGCGGCGUGGAUUAGGCAUGCAAGUCGCGCGAAAAACCCCGCAAGGGGUGGAAAGCGGCGAAAGGGACAGUAACACGUGGAUUAUCUACCCCUGGGUCUGGGAUAGCUGCGGGAAACUGCAGGUAAUACCAGAUGAUAUCUUCGGAUCAAAGGUGUGAUUCCGCCGAGGGAUGAGUCCGCGUCCUAUUAGCUAGUUGGUAGGGUAACGGCCUACCAAGGCCAUGAUGGGUAGCGGGUGUGAGAGCAUGACCCGCGUCACUGGGACUGAGACACUGCCCAGACACCUACGGGUGGCUGCAGUCGAGGAUCUUCGGCAAUGGGCGCAAGCCUGACCGAGCGACGCCGCGUGUGGGAUGAAGGCCUUCGGGUUGUAAACCACUGUCGGAGGGGAUGAAAUGCCAUGGGGUACUCCCCAUGGUUUGACAUAGCCUCAAAGGAAGUACGGGCUAAGUUCGU
RNAcentral lists this ribosomal RNA (465 nucleotides) under uncultured bacterium. RNAcentral's name for it is "bacterial SSU rRNA". It matches the Rfam family "Bacterial small subunit ribosomal RNA", at positions 29 to 506 of the family's 1533-position model. The record is from RNAcentral.